Molecule: ribosomal RNA, 506 nt
Filed under: uncultured soil bacterium
Lineage: Bacteria
Description: bacterial SSU rRNA
Rfam family: Bacterial small subunit ribosomal RNA
Source: RNAcentral
AGAUUGAACGCUAGCGGGAUGCUUUACACAUGCAAGUCGAACGGCAGCGCGGACUUCGGUCUGGCGGCGAGUGGCGAACGGGUGAGUAAUAUAUCGGAACGUGCCCAGUAGCGGGGGAUAACUACGCGAAAGCGUGGCUAAUACCGCAUACGCCCUACGGGGGAAAGGGGGGGAUUCUUCGGAACCUCUCACUAUUGGAGCGGCCGAUAUCAGAUUAGCUAGUUGGUGAGGUAAAGGCUCACCAAGGCCGCGAUCUGUAGCUGGUUUGAGAGGACGACCAGCCACACUGGGACUGAGACACGGCCCAGACUCCUACGGGAGGCAGCAGUGGGGAAUUUGGACAAUGGGGGAAACCCUGAUCCAGCCAUCCCGCGUGUGCGAUGAAGGCCUUCGGGUUGUAAGCACUUUGGCGAGGAAGAAACGGCGUCGACUAAUAUUUGACGUCACUGACGGUACCUGCAGAAUAAGCAACCGCUAACUACGUGCCAGCAGCCGCGGUAACUCGU